AGGCAAGUAACUCAGUUGGUUAGAGUACACGGCUUAUAUCCGUGUGGUCGUGGGUUCAAGCCCUACCUUGCCUA
RNAcentral lists this transfer RNA (74 nucleotides) under Caudoviricetes sp. Its description in RNAcentral is "tRNA-Ile". It matches the Rfam family "tRNA". From Rfam's summary of the family: Transfer RNA (tRNA) molecules are approximately 80 nucleotides in length. Lineage: Duplodnaviria; Heunggongvirae; Uroviricota; Caudoviricetes. The record is from RNAcentral.